GAACGCUGGCGGCAUGCCUUACACAUGCAAGUCGAACGGCAGCACGGGAGCUUGCUCCUGGUGGCGAGUGGCGAACGGGUGAGUAAUACAUCGGAACGUACCCUGAAGUGGGGGAUAACGUAGCGAAAGUUACGCUAAUACCGCAUAUUCUGUGAGCAGGAAAGAGGGGGAUCGCAAGACCUCUUGCUUUAGGAGCGGCCGAUGUCGGAUUAGCUAGUUGGUGAGGUAAAGGCUCACCAAGGCGACGAUCCGUAGCGGGUCUGAGAGGAUGAUCCGCCACACUGGGACUGAGACACGGCCCAGACUCCUACGGGAGGCAGCAGUGGGGAAUUUUGGACAAUGGGCGCAAGCCUGAUCCAGCCAUGCCGCGUGAGUGAAGAAGGCCUUCGGGUUGUAAAGCUCUUUCGGUGGGAAGAAAUUGCACAGGAUAAUACCUUGUGUAGAUGACGGUACCCGCAUAAGAAGCACCGGCUAACUACGUG
Molecule: ribosomal RNA, 482 nt
Filed under: uncultured bacterium
Lineage: Bacteria
Description: bacterial SSU rRNA
Rfam family: Bacterial small subunit ribosomal RNA
Source: RNAcentral